This 550-nucleotide ribosomal RNA is filed under the name Vreelandella aquamarina. RNAcentral describes it as "bacterial SSU rRNA". It matches the Rfam family "Bacterial small subunit ribosomal RNA", at positions 872 to 1422 of the family's 1533-position model. The record is from RNAcentral. Lineage: Bacteria; Pseudomonadati; Pseudomonadota; Gammaproteobacteria; Oceanospirillales; Halomonadaceae.
CCUGGGGAGUACGGCCGCAAGGUUAAAACUCAAAUGAAUUGACGGGGGCCCGCACAAGCGGUGGAGCAUGUGGUUUAAUUCGAUGCAACGCGAAGAACCUUACCUGGUCUUGACAUCCUGGGAAUUUGGCAGAGAUACCUUAGUGCCUUCGGGAGCGCAGAGACAGGUGCUGCAUGGCUGUCGUCAGCUCGUGUUGUGAAAUGUUGGGUUAAGUCCCGUAACGAGCGCAACCCUUGUCCUUAGUUGCCAGCACGUAAUGCGGGAACUCUAAGGAGACUGCCGGUGACAAACCGGAGGAAGGUGGGGACGACGUCAAGUCAUCAUGGCCCUUACGAGUAGGGCUACACACGUGCUACAAUGGUCGGUACAAAGGGUUGCCAAGUCGCGAGGGGAAGCCAAUCCCGAAAAGCCAGUCGCAGUCCGGAUCGGAGUCUGCAACUCGACUCCGUGAAGUCGGAAUCGCUAGUAAUCGUGGAUCAGAAUGCCACGGUGAAUACGUUCCCGGGCCUUGUACACACCGCCCGUCACACCAUGGGAGUGGAUUGCACCA